RNAcentral lists this ribosomal RNA (516 nucleotides) under uncultured bacterium. RNAcentral describes it as "partial 16S ribosomal RNA". It matches the Rfam family "Bacterial small subunit ribosomal RNA", at positions 899 to 1397 of the family's 1533-position model. The record is from RNAcentral.
ACUCAAAUGAAUAGACGGGGACCCGCACAACCAGUGGAGCGUGUGGUUCAAUUUGAGACGAAGCAAAAAACCUCACCAGGGAUUGACAUACUUAUGAAAGCCUUAUGAAAGUUUGGCCCUCCGCAAGGACAUUUGUACAGGUGUUGCAUGGCUGUCGUCAGCUCGUGCCGUGAGGUGUUCCGUUAAGUCGGGAAACGAGUGCAACCCCCAUCCAAUGUUAAAUAUUCAUUGGAGACCGCUCUGCAUUUUUUCGCUCAAAGAAAUUUGAGCUAAAAAAUGCAGAGAGGAAGGAGGGGCGGACGUCAAGUCAGCACGACCCUUAUACCCUGGGCUACACACACCCUACAAUGGCGAACAACAACGAGUUGCAAGACGGUAACGUCAAGCUAAUCUCUGAAAUUUCGCCUCAGUUCAGAUUGGGGUCUGAAACCCGACCCCAUGAAGUCGGAAUUGGUAGUAAUCGCGGAUCAGCAGGCCGCGGUGAAUACGUUCUCGGGUCUUGUACACACCGCCCGU